Megalobrama amblycephala (Wuchang bream) is the source of this 1606-nucleotide long non-coding RNA. RefSeq lists it as uncharacterized. The record is from RefSeq and is a predicted model, not a curated record. The transcript is spliced from 5 exons. NCBI's taxonomy places the organism in Eukaryota, Metazoa, Chordata, Actinopteri, Cypriniformes, Xenocyprididae.
CUCUCAGAAAUAAAGGUACAGUGAGGGUACAAUUAAGUACUUUAAGGUACAAAUUUCACAAAUGUGCCAGCAAAGGAACAAACAUGUAUCCAGCUGAGUACCAAAAAGUACCUUUCCAAAGAAAAGGGGUACACAAUGAAAUAUGCAUGGUGAAAGGUACAUAUAUGUACCCUUUGAAAAGGUACAUUGUCAUAUAAAGUAAUAGUUAAGGUACAACAUUCACAAAUGUACCAUUAAAGGUCCUAUCGUGUUCCCAUGGGGUACUUAGAAGUACCUUUUGGGUACACAUCCUGUAGGGUACAAAAAAGUACCUUAUUCAAGUCAAAGGGUACACUUCCUGUGGGGUACUAAGAAGUACUUUUCAAGUUACAGGGUACACAAUCCUCUGGGGUAGCAGCUACUUAUGCGUGCCUUUUCUAAGACUGAUAGAGCCUUUGUCAUAAUUUGUAAAUGUGGUAUGCCUUGGACAGAUUGACACAAUAAAUGUGUUAUCUCCUGGGCGGGCAGUUUGUGUUUAUGAAAAUAAAAACAAUACAUAUAUUUCAUAUGGUAGCACAUAAAAAGCUCUAUAAAUAAUGAAUAAUCAUUUAUAAAAAUAAAUAUACAUUAUAUAUAUUUCAAUUUAUUACACGAAACGGCUGUUUUUUGUCGGCCAAUCACGUCACGCCUCUCGUCUUUUCAAACUGCGGCGGAUCGCGCUCUUUUCACUCCGGCCUGGUUUGAGGGGAAUCGCGAUGCUUUGGACCGUUCCGUAAGUUACGGUAGAUAAUACUUGUUAAAAUGCGUAGUGCUGAAAAAAACGAUCAUAGAAAUAGUUAGCUAACAAAUAUGUUGUUAAUUAAGUUAGUUGGAGAGUGGCGACGUGCGUCGAGCAGUGUAGCGUUAGCGAAGUGUUAGCCAGGCAGAGCGCACGACAAGCUGUCCAGCACACCAUAUCAUUAUAAACAACUAAAAGAGUGCAUUAUAAGUGAAGGAUUUAACGUGGAGCGUUUGCUUUGCUGCAUCAGGUACGUUCACAGUGCUCCUGUGAUGUGUUUUGCGGUUGACCGAGUGAAAUGUUGUCUGUUCUCAUCGCAUUACUUUCUACGGUAUGAAUUUUCUUCAAGGACGUUGUCAAGAAUUUGAUUUGAUGUUGACAGAGAUGAAGGUUUGACCGAUUUCACGUCAAGCACAGGAGCCCUACCACAAAUGCUGAAGAGUGCCGUCAAAUCCAGCAGUGAAGAUGAACAUCUAAGGGGACUCCCACAAUGGCUUGAGUACUAAUGCUGCUCGGAUAUGCUGUGUGUAUGGAAAGACUGAGGAGUUGAAAGCUGAUUCUACCCUGGAAAGGAGUAAUUUUCUCUUUUAGAGGGGAUGGAAGACCAAGCAGAUACUAUAUUAAAAAGUGCUACACAAUGAUGGUUGUUCUUGCAUAUCUUCUGCCACCGUUGCCUGGAAGUCGAUGCAAUGUUAAAUCUGAAAUUUCAUUCCUUCAAUUUAAUUUUGUACCGCGUGGAGCCACUAUUGCAUCCCUCUGCAGCAGUUUUGAGACCGCAUCAAAGACCAGACCACAGCCGAUCUACAUUGGAAGUUUGAAGAGCACAACAUCACAGUACAUCAUUACGAG